Molecule: long non-coding RNA, 1325 nt
Organism: Ictidomys tridecemlineatus (thirteen-lined ground squirrel)
Lineage: Eukaryota; Metazoa; Chordata; Mammalia; Rodentia; Sciuridae
Source: RefSeq, a predicted model, not a curated record
GGCUCUGGACAUUUUUCUCUAACUGUGCACAACACCAGUGUACUCAGUGUGUUCCAGAAGAGUUGCCCUGGCAGGUGGAACAUGUGAGACCCACUCCCAGCCUCCUAUCCUGCGUAUUCCGUGACAACUCGGGGACCUGGCGGUAGAGAAGGUGCUCAGCCUUGGGCCCUGCACUGGCUCUGGCCAACCUUCCUCAGCCUGUGGUCAGCCUGCACAUUUUUCCUGGAGAGGGGCCAGUGUGUCAGGAGUGGGUUGGAGAGCACAGGCUUGGACAGAAGCAAGGAGAAGGAACGGGAAACUCUGGAUUUGGCAAAGAACAAGGAAAUGUUGGGAAAUCCUCACUGGCAGGGUCUCCACGAAGGUCAGAGGUCAGGACUAAGAUGGGAGCGGGUCCAGAGGGAGUCAGGAAACUUGUGCAGCAGAGCAGGGAACUGUGGAGCCCACAGCUAGAGGGCUGGUGUCACCCAGUGACAGCCCCCCCUGGGACACAGAAUUGCCCCCAUGACAGCCCCCCCGGGACAAGGAACUAUUCCAGUGACAGCCCCCACCUGGGACAUAACACCAUCCUGGGACACGGAAGCAUCUGGGGCACAGCACCGUCCCUGCAAUCGCCCGUUUGGGAUGAGCACCCUUGCAGGAGGCCAAGGCAGAUGAACAUUGUCCCCCGCCAGCCUCAAGCCUGCAUUUCGCUUUCCUUGUCAAGUGGACAAAGGGCCAAGCUUCCACACUGGAAAAAGAGAAUUCGAGAACCUGUGUUUCCUUUAUUUAUACAAGGGGGCUUAAAAAAAAAUUUCGAUGGAAUGUUCUUCACCAAAUAAGGCAAGGGGUAAUAUCCAGGUCCAGAGCUCUGAGAAAGCAGACUCCUUAGCCCAGCGGAGGUAAAGGCCACAUUCAUCUGCAGCAAUCCAUCAAGUGGGAGGGGCCAUAAAAUAGCGUGCAAAGCCAGACCCAAACCUCUUUGGCUCAAGGCUGAAAGAAGACACUAAAUAGCUCAGGGGUGGCCCCACACACUAAGAAUUAAAGCUCCAAAUUGUCUUCACUUCUCAUGCAGGGAACUGGUCACCCCCGGCCCCAGCUAGUAGCCUGGUGUAACACAACCUAGCUACAUCUGCUUAUGUACUUUUGUCCCUGUUCUCUUGUAACAGCUUUCCUCACCCUUGAGUUUUCUGAAGACUGUGAAAAAAAAUAUUUGCUCUAUCCCUCUCUAGAGCUGGCUUGCAUACAAUCCACUCUUCUGCCAAUUUGACUCUGUGUAUUUGUGGAGCACUACUAUCGAGAAAGUGUACCCCUUGUCCCCAUGAGUAAUAAACAUAUGCAUCAUCCCA